AUUGAACGCUGGCGGCAUGCCUUACACAUGCAAGUCGAACGGCAGCACGGGAGCAAUCCUGGUGGCGAGUGGCGAACGGGUGAGUAAUAUAUCGGAACGUGCCCAGUCGUGGGGGAUAACGUAGCGAAAGCUACGCUAAUACCGCAUACGAUCUAUGGAUGAAAGCGGGGGAUCGCAAGACAUCGCGCGAUUGGAGCGGCCGAUAUCAGAUUAGGUAGUGGGUGGGGUAAAGGCUCACAAAGCCGACGAUCUGUAGCUGGUCUGAGAGGACGACCAGUCACACUGGGAGUGAGACACGGCCCAGACUCCUACGGGAGGCAGCAGUGGGGAAUUUUGGACAAUGGGCGCAAGCCUGAUCCAGCAAUGCCGCGUGCAGGAUGAAGGCCUUCGGGUUGUAAACUGCUUUUGUACGGAGCGAAAAGGCUCUCUCUAAUACAGGGGGCUCAUGACGGUACCGUAAGAAUAAGCACCGGCUAACUACGUGCCAGCCGCCGCAGUAA
Molecule: ribosomal RNA, 500 nt
Filed under: uncultured bacterium
Lineage: Bacteria
Description: partial 16S ribosomal RNA
Rfam family: Bacterial small subunit ribosomal RNA
Source: RNAcentral